UUGAUCAUGGCUCAGGAUGAACGCUAGCGGCAGGCUUAAUACAUGCAAGUCGAGGGGCAGCAGCUUUAUAGCAAUAUAGAGGCUGGCGACCGGCAAACGGGUGCGGAACACGUACACAACCUUCCUUUAAGUGGGGGAUAGCCCAUAGAAAUGUGGAUUAAUACCCCGUAAUAUUAUUGAAGUGGCAUCACUUUAUAAUUAUAGUUUCGACGCUUGAAGAUGGGUGUGCGGCUGAUUAGGUAGUUGGCGGGGUAAAGGCCCACCAAGCCUUCGAUCAGUAGCUGAUGUGAGAGCAUGAUCAGCCACACGGGCACUGAGACACGGGCCCGACUCCUACGGGAGGCAGCAGUAAGGAAUAUUGGUCAAUGGACGCAAGUCUGAACCAGCCAUGCCGCGUGAAGGAUGCAGGUCCUCUGGAUUGUAAACUUCUUUUAUAGGGGGCGAAAAAAGGGAAUUCUUUCUCACUUGACAGUACCCUAUGAAUAAGCACCGGCUAACUCCGUGCCAGCAGCCGCGGUAAUACGGAGGUGCAAGCGUUAUCCGGAUUCACUGGGUUUAAA
This 560-nucleotide ribosomal RNA is filed under the name uncultured bacterium. RNAcentral's name for it is "bacterial SSU rRNA". It matches the Rfam family "Bacterial small subunit ribosomal RNA", at positions 13 to 564 of the family's 1533-position model. The record is from RNAcentral.